ACAUGUGACGGUGAUCUGGCCGAGACUGCUGUCCUUGAUCACCAGCGCUGACCCGGCUAAUCUGCUGGUUAGGCUGGCGUCCCUCCCUCCCUCACGGUUCCAUGUGUGUCUGGAGCUGAGCACUCUGUUGAGGAGGACAACUGUCCCUGGAAGAGGAGGACUGUUCUUCUGUCAAAGGUUCGUACUAGAAUCUCCAAACAAGCCCCCCAAACUCCUCACCGACAGAAGAAUCCUAAUGGCCCGUGUCAUGUGCCUUUG
This 258-nucleotide small RNA is filed under the name Mustela putorius furo (domestic ferret). RNAcentral describes it as "7SK RNA (ENSMPUG00000023756.1)". The stretch from base 1 to 184 matches the Rfam family "7SK RNA". From Rfam's summary of the family: 7SK was discovered as an abundant small nuclear RNA in the mid-70s but a possible function has only recently been suggested. Two independent studies have found that 7SK RNA binds the CDK9/cyclin T complex (known as elongation factor P-TEFb). P-TEFb activates transcription by phosphorylating the C-terminal domain of RNA polymerase II. Lineage: Eukaryota; Metazoa; Chordata; Mammalia; Carnivora; Mustelidae. The record is from RNAcentral.